RNAcentral lists this long non-coding RNA (422 nucleotides) under Homo sapiens (human). Its description in RNAcentral is "HSALNT0373745". The record is from RNAcentral. Lineage: Eukaryota; Metazoa; Chordata; Mammalia; Primates; Hominidae.
UUGAAGUUACGAAAUAAUGACUGGAAUAUAAUAGUAUGCAAUUAGCAGCUUACUUCCUAUAUUUUUUUCUUCUUAGUGGAAGAGAGGCCAUGAUCAAUUUAGUAUCUUGUCCUAGAUCAGAGAUUUCGGCACAGGUUAUAUAUCUGUGACUAAUUUUAAGAACGACGACUGAGAGAAAUACAGAAAGCAGGAUUAAACAUAGAAGCUGAGCUGCAGUGAUGUUGCAGCAGAGGCGUCAGCCAAUCCAUUUGUAAGCACUGAGCCUUGGUGGCCUUUCAGAGUUUUCCACUUCAGAAAAGAGGAGAGAAAAUACUGGAGAGGGAUUCAGCUGUAUCCCAUUUAACCAAUAUUCCUGACAUCUGACAAAAUGAUUGCCUCACUCCUGAAGAAGUUUCUGGAUGGUGAAUCACAUCAUUACUAUG